RNAcentral lists this ribosomal RNA (490 nucleotides) under uncultured bacterium. RNAcentral describes it as "partial 16S ribosomal RNA". It matches the Rfam family "Bacterial small subunit ribosomal RNA", at positions 28 to 507 of the family's 1533-position model. The record is from RNAcentral.
GAUGAACGCUAGCUACAGGCUUAACACAUGCAAGUCGAGGGGCAGCAUGGUCUUAGCUUGCUAAGGCCGAUGGCGACCGGCGCACGGGUGAGUAACACGUAUCCAACCUGCCGUCUACUCUUGGACAGCCUUCUGAAAGGAAGAUUAAUACAAGAUGGCAUCAUGAGUUCACAUGUUCACAUGAUUAAAGGUAUUCCGGUAGACGAUGGGGAUGCGUUCCAUUAGAUAGUAGGCGGGGUAACGGCCCACCUAGUCUUCGAUGGAUAGGGGUUCUGAGAGGAAGGUCCCCCACAUUGGAACUGAGACACGGUCCAAACUCCUACGGGAGGCAGCAGUGAGGAAUAUUGGUCAAUGGGCGAGAGCCUGAACCAGCCAAGUAGCGUGAAGGAGGACUGCCCUAUGGGUUGUAAACUUCUUUUAUAAAGGAAUAAAGUCGGGUAUGUAUACCCGUUUGCAUGUACUUUAUGAAUAAGGAUCGGCUAACUCCGUG